Molecule: ribosomal RNA, 456 nt
Filed under: Salmonella enterica subsp. enterica serovar Manhattan
Lineage: Bacteria; Pseudomonadati; Pseudomonadota; Gammaproteobacteria; Enterobacterales; Enterobacteriaceae
Description: bacterial SSU rRNA
Rfam family: Bacterial small subunit ribosomal RNA
Source: RNAcentral
GCUCAGAUUGAACGCUGGCGGCAGGCCUAACACAUGCAAGUCGAACGGUAACAGGAAGCAGCUUGCUGCUUCGCUGACGAGUGGCGGACGGGUGAGUAAUGUCUGGGAAACUGCCUGAUGGAGGGGGAUAACUACUGGAAACGGUGGCUAAUACCGCAUAACGUCGCAAGACCAAAGAGGGGGACCUUCGGGCCUCUUGCCAUCAGAUGUGCCCAGAUGGGAUUAGCUWGUUGGUGAGGUAACGGCUCACCAAGGCGACGAUCCCUAGCUGGUCUGAGAGGAUGACCAGCCACACUGGAACUGAGACACGGUCCAGACUCCUACGGGAGGCAGCAGUGGGGAAUAUUGCACAAUGGGCGCAAGCCUGAUGCAGCCAUGCCGCGUGUAUGAAGAAGGCCUUCGGGUUGUAAAGUACUUUCAGCGGGGAGGAAGGUGUUGUGGUUAAUAACCRCAGCA